This 486-nucleotide ribosomal RNA is filed under the name uncultured bacterium. Its description in RNAcentral is "partial 16S ribosomal RNA". It matches the Rfam family "Bacterial small subunit ribosomal RNA", at positions 30 to 507 of the family's 1533-position model. The record is from RNAcentral.
AUUGAACGCUGGCGGCAUGCCUUACACAUGCGAGUCGAACGGCAGCACGGGUGCUUGCACCUGGUGGCGAGUGGCGAACGGGUGAGUAAUACAUCGGAACAUGUCCUGUAGUGGGGGAUAGCCCGGCGAAAGCCGGAUUAAUACCGCAUACGAUCUACGGAUGAAAGCGGGGGACCUUCGGGCCUCGCGCUAUAGGGUUGGCCGAUGGCUGAUUAGCUAGUUGGUUGGGUAAAGGCCUACCAAGGCGACGAUCAGUAGCUGGUCUGAGAGGACGACCAGCCACACUGGGACUGAGACACGGCCCAGACUCCUACGGGAGGCAGCAGUGGGGAAUUUUGGACAAUGGGCGAAAGCCUGAUCCAGCAAUGCCGCGUGUGUGAAGAAGGCCUUCGGGUUGUAAAGCACUUUUGUCCGGAAAGAAAUCCUUGGCCCUAAUACGGUCGGGGGAUGACGGUACCGGAAGAAUAAGCACCGGCUAACUACGUG